Molecule: transfer RNA, 93 nt
Filed under: Streptomyces sp. MBT84
Lineage: Bacteria; Bacillati; Actinomycetota; Actinomycetes; Kitasatosporales; Streptomycetaceae
Description: tRNA-Arg
Source: RNAcentral
ACACGUCGUCGUACGGGUUCUCCGAGAACAGCCGUGCUCCGACCGCGAGGAGCUGCUCCCUGCGCUCCCCGGUGCUGAGCCGGCGACGCGUGC